GAUCAUGGCUCAGGAUGAACGCUGGCGGCGUGCUUAACACAUGCAAGUCGAACGAAGAUGCCGGAGUGCUGCACUUUGGCAGACUGAGUGGCGGACGGGUGAGUAACGCGUGGGUAACCUGCCUUAUACCGGGGGAUAACACUUAGAAAUAGGUGCUAAUACCGCAUAAGCGCACAGCUUCGCAUGAAGCAGUGUGAAAAACUCCGGUGGUGUGAGAUGGACCCGCGUCUGAUUAGCUAGUUGGUAAGGUAACGGCUUACCAAGGCGACGAUCAGUAGCCGACCUGAGAGGGUGACCGGCCACAUUGGGACUGAGACACGGCCCAAACUCCUACGGGAGGCAGCAGUGGGGAAUAUUGCACAAUGGGGGAAACCCUGAUGCAGCGACGCCGCGUGAGUGAAGAAGUAUUUCGGUAUGUAAAGCUCUAUCAGCAGGGAAGAAAAUGACGGUACCUGACUAAGAAGCCCCGGCUAACUACGUG
This 481-nucleotide ribosomal RNA is filed under the name uncultured bacterium. RNAcentral describes it as "bacterial SSU rRNA". It matches the Rfam family "Bacterial small subunit ribosomal RNA", at positions 15 to 507 of the family's 1533-position model. The record is from RNAcentral.